This 70-nucleotide small RNA is filed under the name Neogale vison (American mink). RNAcentral's name for it is "Neovison vison (American mink) XIST 3' intron conserved motif (ENSNVIG00000024824.1)". It matches the Rfam family "XIST 3' intron conserved motif". The record is from RNAcentral. Lineage: Eukaryota; Metazoa; Chordata; Mammalia; Carnivora; Mustelidae.
UUGACCUUUUCUAUUUUUAAAUCACUCACAAGAGGGUGGGAUUAGGAGGAAGAGUGAAAGAGAAGGUCAA